Capsella rubella is the source of this 521-nucleotide long non-coding RNA. RefSeq lists it as uncharacterized. The transcript is spliced from 2 exons. NCBI's taxonomy places the organism in Eukaryota, Viridiplantae, Streptophyta, Magnoliopsida, Brassicales, Brassicaceae. The record is from RefSeq and is a predicted model, not a curated record.
UUCUCUCCUUUCUUACUCUCAAAUUUCAUUUCUCAAAUAUCCCAAUAAUAGUCUCUGUUUUAUAUUCUUUUGAUAUACAUACGUCUUCUACAACUCAAGCCUUGUCUCUGAUCUCUUUUGAUAUACAUACGUCUUCUACAACUCAAGCCUUGUCUCUGAUCUUCUCAUUCCCUGAGCAUAGAGACUUAAAGACUCAUCACCCCUACAAAGAUGAACAUAUAUUCAAAAGGAGUGAGUUAACGAGUAGGCCAAAAUGGGAAAGCUAAGUGAUCUGAUCGCUCACAUGCAUGUCCUUUUGAGAGAAACUACAGAUGGAAAAAAGAUCGGAUGUGAAGGAACAGAGAAUCUUGGGAAUGUGCCUUACUUUGUAGGAUGAGUGAUAAAUGCUUGCUUGUAAGCUAUAUAUGUGAUGGUAAAAUGUAUGUGUAGUUAUGACGGCUGGUAAAAGCUCUAGUUUCUUAGAACACAAGAAACACAAAAUCUUAAGAACAUAAGUAAAAGAAUUACUCUCUUUUAUUAGA